RNAcentral lists this ribosomal RNA (2341 nucleotides) under marine metagenome. Its description in RNAcentral is "bacterial LSU rRNA". It matches the Rfam family "Bacterial large subunit ribosomal RNA", at positions 622 to 2820 of the family's 2925-position model. The record is from RNAcentral.
AGGGCGUUAGUUAGGCGGCAAGGAAUCCAUUUUCUGAGAUCUGGUUCUAGUAGUUGAUCACCUUCGGGUGAGAUGCAGCUGGAAUUAGAAUGAAGUUUAUGACUGAAUUGCCAAUAUGCUUAACGUGUUGUCUGGAUUAGACCCGAAACCGAGUGAGCUACCCAUGGCCAGGUUGAAACCCGGAUAAUAUCCGGGCGGAGGACCGAACCCGUGUCUGGUGCAAAAGGCUGGGAUGAGCUGUGGGUAGGGGUGAAAUGCCAAUCGAACCUGGAGAUAGCUGGUUCUCCCCGAAAUGUAUUGAGGUGCAGCCUCAACUGAAGUCUUAGGGAGGUAGGGCUCUGGAUGGGCUAGGGUGCGUAAGCAUACCAAACUCAACCAAACCACAAAUGCCCUAAGAUGAUCGUUGGGAGUGAGACAGUGGGGGAUAAGCUCCAUUGUCGAGAGGGAAACAGCCCAGACCGCCGGCUAAGGCCCCCAAGUGUGGACUAAGUGGGAAAGGAUGUGGGAUUCCCUAGACAGCUGGGAGGUUGGCUCAGAAGCAGCCAUCCUUUAAAGAGUGCGUAACAGCUCACCGGUCGAGGGAACCUGCGCCGAAGAUGUAACGGGGCUAAGUCCACCGCCGAAGCCGCGGAUGGCUUUCAUCUUUGGAUGAAGGUCGUGGUAGAGGAGCGUUCCCAGGGCAGUGAAGUUAGCUCGGAAGAGCUGGUGGAGGCCUGGGAAGUGAGAAUCCCGGAAUGAGUAGCGACAAUCCCGGUGGAAACCCGGGACGCCGAAAGCCCAAGGAUUCCUACGGAACGUCAGACGGCGUAGGGUAAGUCGGGGCCUAAGCCGUAGCCGCAAGGCGCAGGCGAAGGACAGCUGGUGAAUAUUCCAGCACCACCUAUUUUCCAUUGAAGCGCGGGGGGACGGGGAAGGUUAGGUGGAGCAUCCCAACCGGACACGGGGUGUCCUCCCCGGUAGGCGAUGCUUCCAGAGGAAAAUCCCUGGGAGCGAUAAGCUGAGGGGGGAGGGAAUUUCCCGCUUUCGAGCGGGGGAAACUCCAUUGGUUCCAUGCCUCCAAGAAAAGCCUCGCGGGGAGGAAAACUGGUGCCCGUACCGCAAACCGCCACAGGUGGGCAGGGGUGAGAGCCCCAAGGGGAACGUGAGAACCAUGGCUAAGGAACUCGGCAAACUAGACCCGUAACUUUGGGAGAAGGGUUGCCCUGCGAGGUGAAGGCGCUUGCCGCCGGAGCGUCGUGGGGCCGCAGCGUAGCAUCUCUGGCGACUGUUUACCUAAAACCUAGGUCCCUGCCAAGGAGAAAUCCGAGGUAUAGGGACUGACGCCUGCCCAGUGCCGGAAGGUUAAGUGGACGGGUCAUUUCCGGAGGGAGACUGUAGACCGCUUCUGAGAGAACACAUGGAAGAGGGAUAGAGUCUCCCUUCGGAGAGAAGCUUGGAAAUGAAGCCCCGGUGAACGGCGGCCGUAACUCUAACGGUCCUAAGGUAGCGAAGUCCCUUGUCGGGUAAGUUCCGACCCGCAUGAAUGGCGGAACGACUGGAGGACUGUCUCAGCGUGGGGCUCGGUGAAAUUGCAGGGCCUGUGCAGAUGCGGGCGACCCGCGGCGGGACAAAAAGACCCCGUGGAGCUUUACUGCACCCUGGCACUGGACGGGGGUCCGAGAUGUGUAGGAUAGGUGGGAGGCUAAGAAGGUCGGGCGCCAGCCCGGCUGGAGCCGCCGGUGAAAUACCACUCUUCCCUGAUCUUUGCCCUCACCCCGGAACACACCGGGGAACCAUGCCAGGCGGGUAGUUUGACUGGGGCGGUCGCCUCCUAAAAAGUAACGGAGGCGUCCAAAGGUCCACUCAGGACGGAUGGAAAUCGUCCGGUGCGUGCAUUGGCAGAAGUGGGCUUGACUGUGAGGCCAACAAGCCGAGCAGGGACGAAAGUCGGGCAAAGUGAUCCUACGGUUCCGUGUGGAAGGGCCGUGGCUUAUCGGAUAAAAGCUACCCCGGGGAUAACAGACUAAUCUCGCCCAAGAGUUCACAUCGACGGCGAGGUUUGGCACCUCGAUGUCGGCUCGUCGCAUCCUGGGGCUGAAGAAGGUCCCAAGGGUUGGGCUGUUCGCCCAUUAAAGCGGCACGCGAGCUGGGUUUAGAACGUCGUGAGACAGUUCGGUCCCUAUCCUCCAUGGUCGUAAGAAAUUUGAGGGAAUUUGCUUCUAGUACGAGAGGACCGAAGUGAACGAACCUCUAGUGUAUCUGUUGUCAUAUCAAUGGCAUUGCAGAGUAGCUACGUUCGGUUGGGAUAAGCGCUGAAAGCAUAUAAGCACGAAACCCAUCCCAAGAUUAGAUUUCUCUUUCU